AUGCUGGAGUCACCUACAAAAAUCUCAAGCUAUCAAAGAAAUGCCCAAGAAAAGGAAACCAUCACCAAGUACUCUCCGGUGCAGUACAAAUCAAUACUAGUUGCUCAUGCAGAUGGAAGAAACAAGGGGAAAACAUUGGAAAGGGAGUUUGCAAUCACGAUGAACAAGUUCUCAAGCUAUAUGUGGCAGCCAUUACAGGGACCUUCAGAUGAGGGGCAAGGGAGGAGAGGGGCGUGGGGAGAAGAAGCAGAAGGGCGUGGGAACGGCGCGUCGAGAGCGCUCCCUCUCGCUGGGUGGAUGAGAGACGCAAGAGACGGUGGACCCUCUCACUUUCCAAAUCUGGACAAGGGGACCGAAACCUACUUAAUACGGGAGGCUGCCAGGAGGCGCUAG
This 393-nucleotide ribosomal RNA is filed under the name Triticum aestivum (bread wheat). Its description in RNAcentral is "partial small subunit ribosomal RNA". Lineage: Eukaryota; Viridiplantae; Streptophyta; Magnoliopsida; Poales; Poaceae. The record is from RNAcentral.